Molecule: ribosomal RNA, 1350 nt
Filed under: Oedalechilus labeo (boxlip mullet)
Lineage: Eukaryota; Metazoa; Chordata; Actinopteri; Mugiliformes; Mugilidae
Description: partial 16S ribosomal RNA
Rfam family: Bacterial large subunit ribosomal RNA
Source: RNAcentral
UUAUACCUCGUACCUUUUUGCAUCAUGAUUUAACAAGUAUAACCAAGCAAAAAGCAUUUUAGUUUGGCCCCCCGAAACCAACGUGAGCUACUUCAAGACAACCUUUAGUUAGGGUAAACCCGUCUCUGUGGCAAAAGAGUGGGAAGAGCUUUGAGUAGCGGUGACAGACCAAUCGAACUUGGCAAUAGCUGGUUGCUUGAGAAACGAAUAGAAGUUCUGCCUCUUAUAUUCCCCUCUCAACCUCGGGGCAGAUUAUAUGUUCUACGAUAUUUGCCAGGGCAUCACAGAUAAAAUGAAAAUAAGAGAGUUAGUCAAAGGGGGUACAGCCCCUUUGACACAAGACACAACUUUUACAGGAGGGUAAAGAUCAUAAUUUUUAAGGUAACUGUGUUUUGGUGGGCCUGAAAGCAGCCAUCCCAUUAGAAAGCGUUAAAGCUCUAACACACACCUCCCCAUCGAUCCCGAUAAUAAAUCUUAACCCCCUCAAUACGUAUCAAGCCGUCCCAUAACUGCAUGGGAGUGACUAUGCUAAAAUGAAUAACUAGAGAGCCCCGACUCUCUCCUUGCACAGGUGUAAAUCGGAACGGACUCCCCACCGAAAUUUAACGGUCCCAAAUACAGAGGGCACUGAAGUAUAAACAACAAACAAGAAGACCACCCAAAAUAAUACCGUUAACCCCACACUGGUGUGCUUUAAAGGAAAGACCAAAAGGAAAAGAAGGAACUCGGCAAAAACCCCUAAGCCUCGCCUGUUUACCAAAAACAUCGCCUCUUGCUAACUACACAUAAGAGGUCCUGCCUGCCCUGUGACCCCCCAGUUUAACGGCCGCGGUAUUUUAACCGUGCGAAGGUAGCGCAAUCACUUGUCUCUUAAAUGAGGACCUGUAUGAAUGGCAUUUACGAGGGCUUAACUGUCUCCUUUCCCCGGUCAGUGAAAUUGAUCUUCCCGUGCAGAAGCGGGACUUCUAACAUAAGACGAGAAGACCCUAUGGAGCUUUAGACUAUACAACAGACCAUAAAAAACAACCUCCCUAAAAUAGGUAAUAAUUAUUGGACUACUGUUCCCCUGUCUUUGGUUGGGGCGACCACGGGGAAGAAAAAAACCCCCAUGUGGACCAGGAGCACAGUUACUUUUACUCCUACAACCAUGAGCCACAGCUCUAAUGCACAAAAUCUUUGACCAUUAGAUCCGGCAAAGCCGAUCAACGGACCAAGUUACCCUAGGGAUAACAGCGCAAUCCCCUUUAAGAGUCCAUAUCGACAAGGGGGUUUACGACCUCGAUGUUGGAUCAAGACAUCCUAAUGGUGCAGCCGCUAUUAAGGGUUCGUUUGUUCAACGAUUAAAGUCUU